RNAcentral lists this long non-coding RNA (335 nucleotides) under Eurytemora carolleeae. Its description in RNAcentral is "uncharacterized LOC111716471". Lineage: Eukaryota; Metazoa; Arthropoda; Copepoda; Calanoida; Temoridae. The record is from RNAcentral.
UGAUUUAUCCUCUGAUUUUCCCGCGGCGCUGGCCAGCCUUCAACACCUAGAUAUAGAUGAACUUAAAGAGAUUCUGAACAAUGAAGAUAAAUUUGACACUUUUGUGGCUGAGCUCCCCCAGAUAAAAAGUCUCCAGGUGGAAAAAGAUGUUUUAAUGACAAGUAACAAAUCGUUAGCUGAAUACAAUCUUUCACAGGAGCCUGUAGUCCGAGCAGAGAAGGAGAAGCUACUGGAAAGGUUCCAGACCGCUACUAGGCUAGCUGAACAGAUUAAACUCAUGAAAGCAGACAUUGAUUCCAAAUCUGGAAAGGUAAAUGAAUCUUUUCUCUUUUUCC